UGACUGUCAGGCCACCUUAAGCCACAGUACGGAAGAAGCUGUGCUGCCUGUGAGCCCCGUCCAAGGACGUUAAAAGAAGAAGUCAGGCCCCAAAGCCACGGUUUGAGCAAACCGUGCUGCCUGUAGCUCCGUCGUGGGGACGUAAAAACCUGGGAGGCUGCAAACUGUGGAAGCUGUACGCACAGUGUAGCAGACUAGUGGUUAGAGGAGACCCCUCCCAUGACACAACGCAGCAGCGGGGCCCGAGCACUGAGGGAAGCUGUACCUCCUUGCAAAGGACUAGAGGUUAGAGGAGACCCCCCGCAAACAAAAACAGCAUAU
RNAcentral lists this long non-coding RNA (321 nucleotides) under dengue virus type 3. RNAcentral describes it as "Dengue virus type 3 partial sfRNA1". The stretch from base 153 to 224 matches the Rfam family "Flavivirus DB element". The record is from RNAcentral. Lineage: Riboviria; Orthornavirae; Kitrinoviricota; Flasuviricetes; Amarillovirales; Flaviviridae.